CAGCGCGGGGGCAACCCUGGCGGCGAGCGGCGAACGGGUGAGUAAUGCAUCGGAACGUGUCCUCUUGUGGGGGAUAACCAGUCGAAAGACUGGCUAAUACCGCAUGAGAUCGAGAGAUGAAAGCAGGGGACCGCAAGGCCUUGCGCGAGAGGAGCGGCCGAUGCCGGAUUAGCUAGUUGGUGGGGUAAAGGCCUACCAAGGCGACGAUCCGUAGCUGGUCUGAGAGGACGACCAGCCACACUGGGACUGAGACACGGCCCAGACCCCUACGGGAGGCAGCAGUGGGGAAUUUUGGACAAUGGGGGCAACCCUGAUCCAGCCAUGCCGCGUGUGUGAAGAAGGCCUUCGGGUUGUAAAGCACUUUCGGACGGAACGAAAUCGCGCGAUCUAAUAAGUCGCGUGGAUGACGGUACCGUAAGAAGAAGCACCGGCUAACUACGUGCCAGCAGCCGCGGUAAUACGUAGGGUGCGAGCGUUAAUCGGAAUUACUGGGCGUAAAGUGUGCGCAGGUGGCUGAGCAAGUCGAGUGUGAAAUCCCCGGGCUUAACUUGGGAAUUGCGCUCGAAACUACUUGGCUCGAGUGUGGCAGAGGAAGGUGGAAUUCCACGUGUAGCGGUGAAAUGCGUAGAGAUGUGGAGGAACACCGAUGGCGAAGGCAGCCUUCUGGGCCAACACUGACGCUCAUGCACGAAAGCGUGGGGAGCAAACAGGAUUAGAUACCCUGGUAGUCCACGCCCUAAACGAUGAUGACUAGUUGUUGGGGGAGUUAAAUCCCUUAGUAACGCAGCUAACGCGUG
This 797-nucleotide ribosomal RNA is filed under the name uncultured beta proteobacterium. RNAcentral's name for it is "bacterial SSU rRNA". It matches the Rfam family "Bacterial small subunit ribosomal RNA", at positions 70 to 861 of the family's 1533-position model. Lineage: Bacteria; Pseudomonadati; Pseudomonadota; Betaproteobacteria. The record is from RNAcentral.